UAAAAAUGUAAUUUUAAACACUAAAGUAGUAGUAGUUAUGUUCUUGAAACUUAAAAAAUUUGGCGGUAUUUUAGUCUAUUCAGAGGAACCUGUUCUAUAAUUGAUAAUCCACGAUGUACCUUACUUAAAUUUGUAAUUCAGUUUAUAUACCGUCGUUAUUAGAAUAUUUUAAUAGAAUAAUAAUCUUCAAUAAUUUAAAUUUAAAUUUAUAUCAGAUCAAGGUGUAGCUAAUAUUUAAGUAGAAAUGGGUUACAAUAAAUUUAUUUAAAUGGAUUUAAUUUUGAAAUGAUUAAUAAAAGUGGAUUUGGUAGUAAAAUUUUAAAGAUAAAAAAUUUGACUAUAGCUCUAAAAUAUGU
RNAcentral lists this ribosomal RNA (356 nucleotides) under Campiglossa pygmaea. Its description in RNAcentral is "partial 12S ribosomal RNA". Lineage: Eukaryota; Metazoa; Arthropoda; Insecta; Diptera; Tephritidae. The record is from RNAcentral.